GGGCGAGUGGCGGAAUUGGUAGACGCACAGGACUCAAAAUCCUGCGAGAGCAAUCUCAUGAGGGUUCAAGUCCCUCCUCGCCCACCA
This 87-nucleotide transfer RNA is filed under the name Candidatus Uhrbacteria bacterium. Its description in RNAcentral is "tRNA-Leu". It matches the Rfam family "tRNA". Rfam says of the family: Transfer RNA (tRNA) molecules are approximately 80 nucleotides in length. The record is from RNAcentral. Lineage: Bacteria; Candidatus Uhriibacteriota.